Molecule: long non-coding RNA, 386 nt
Filed under: Parus major (Great Tit)
Lineage: Eukaryota; Metazoa; Chordata; Aves; Passeriformes; Paridae
Description: lncRNA (ENSPMJG00000007431.1)
Source: RNAcentral
AUGUCUCUUCAUUCUCAGUUUCUGAGUGAUUCUGUCAUUUUGAGAGUGAAAACAAUCCUGUAUUCUGCUCCAGAAGGAUCAACCCAGGAAGGUGAAGGACAAAGGAAAAAACUGGUAUGUGUGAAAUGCUCUGAGGGAAGUCUCGGUGUGGCACAAGGAGAAGAGGGUUUCAGGGCUCCUGACAGCAGCUGGGCACCGCACCUGAGCAGCACUUGGGUAAAUAAGGCACAGAAAAUGUGUUUUGUCAAAGUGACACACAGCAAGCACUAGUAGGUGUAGCCAUCUCAGGAUAAAAGGAACAGAAGCCACUCACUUGAUGAACCUGAAAGCUUUCUUAGAAUUACAAAAGGAAUAAAUGAUCUUAAUCAUAUUAACUCCUGGGUGGU